RNAcentral lists this long non-coding RNA (4105 nucleotides) under Homo sapiens (human). RNAcentral describes it as "HSALNT0408340". Lineage: Eukaryota; Metazoa; Chordata; Mammalia; Primates; Hominidae. The record is from RNAcentral.
GUCAUAACGGCGACCGUGAAGACUUUUAAAAUAGAGACCAACGUGGCCGGGCAGGAAGAGCAGGGUCCCGCCUUCAGGUGUUUGGGACUCAGCUGAGGGUGUGGGUGCCCCGCGGUGGGGGCUGAACCUUCCUGGGGUGUGGAGAGACGAAAGGAGCCCAGAUCCAAGUUCCCUCGUUCCCGCUUUGGCAUAAGUUGCCCUGGCGGUCUCAUGAGAGAGAGAAAGAGCUGGGACCCUCCUCGCCCCAGUGAGUGUGAUGUCUUGCUCCGGGUGUCCUGGGGCAACUUUCUAUACAGGCGGGACGUGGGAGGAUCAGACAGUGUAACAUCAGACAAGGGUGUUGACUCUGCAGCACAGAACCAGUAGUUUGUGGAGAAGAAUGGAGGUGUGGUGUUGAAUCUGCUAGACAGGCUACUGAAGCAAAAGUCAAGAGAUCCAGAUUCCAUCAUGGGGACACUUUAGUUCUUCAUCGGGUAAUUGAGCUGAUAUCAGGUGUCUGAAGGAGGCAAGUUUUGAAGAUGUGGGUCAUGAUGGCUGCUGAAGCUUCCACUCCAUAUUUGAAGGUCAGCAGUUCUCAGGAAACCUCUAGCACUUCCAUCCCUGGUGGGAUGUGAUGCCUGUCUCAGUGUAACAUCAGAGAAGGGGUGUACUCUGUGCCCUAGAACUAGGAGCUAACAGAGAAAAACCAAAUGUGAUGUGGAGUCUGCUAGACAGGCUACUGGAGCAAGAGUGAAGCGAUGAAAGUCUCAUCAUUGGGACAUAUUAGAAAAAAUGAUGGAUACAGAAGGAUAGCUGGAUGUAAGUGAAAAGUUCCAGAAAACCAUGUCUGAUCCCAUUAAUCAAGCUCCCAACUUUCAUCCCUCCCUGCCCGCUGCUGAGUCCCCUGGUCUACACUCAGAGUUGCAAUCCUGACUCUGGCCACCAAGAGGCAUUACAGCUAUCUCCACGUUCCUUGCUCUUUCUUAAUGAAAAGGGGUAAAUUUCGCAGAAAUUCCAUCCUAUGGAUAUGACAUCAGUUUUCUCAAACCUGUGUUAGUCAGAGUGUUCUGAUAUUCCCUGUUAUCUACACUGUGUGGAAGACAUCUUUUCAGAGUCUGUGCAUGGCUGAAGGGCACAGUUCCUGUAGCUGUUUACACUGGCCCAGAAAUAAAGGAAGGGAAUUUUCAGAAUGACAGUACUUAUAACCAGAUGCUUAUCAGCAUCCUUCACAAUGUCCUGAAGAUAAACUUCUAAAAGAUUCCUCAGGUGGAGUCACAGGAGAAAAUCCCAAGAGGAGUAAAAAAUAAUAAUGCUGAUGUCAUGUUAGAGUGGAGGCCCUGGAUGCUGUUGUGGACCCACUCUCCAGUUUCUUCCACAGUUAGAAGAUGUGGAAGUGAUCAGACAAUGAAAUUCGCAGUUUUAAGGAUACAACUUGAUGAUUUUCAGUAAACAAAAGUUGUGCAACCAUCACCGUAGUUGAGUUUUGGAGGUUUCCAUCACUAUAAAAUGUCCCAUCAUACUUGAACGCAGUUAAUCCCUGCUUUCACCCCCAGCUCCAGGAAUCACAGCGCAGAGCUUUUAUGCAGAUGACUGAACCCGUGGAGUUAGGUGGCUGAGAGGAUGCAGCUUCCCAGGUCUCUACAACUGAUGGCAGCAAGAUGGGAGCACCCAGCUACAGUGUUCAGAAGUAGAUUUAGGCAGACUACCACACCUUACAUGCUAGAGGGAUCCACACUGACCUGAGUAGAGCAGGAUAUUGAUGUACAACAAGAUUCUCUGAUCAGAAAGAGAGGCAGAACUAGCAGCCUGGCUUCAGAGGUGAAGAUACAGAUGUCAGUAGUGACCCAGUGUGACAUGCAUAAAGGAAUUUCUUAUUGAGCCCCAGGAAGAAGAAACACUACAUAAGAGCAAAUAAUAAAAUCGGUCAGAUAGACAGAAGAUGGGAGUCAUCAAACCUGUAUCCCUCUUGCCAGACCUAUCAACUGACCAUACGUCAUUCAGGAGGCAGCAGGUGGCUGAAAUCCUGGUGUGAUGUGGCUGGAUCAUGCAUGAUCUGAGGACUCCUGCACAGGUGACUGCAGGAUGAGUACAGAAUUUUUCUAUAAAUAUACUAAAAUACCAAGUAAGCCAGGAGCAGCCACUAGGCAAACACCAAACCUUGCAUUCCUGGCCAAACCUAUCACAGAGCUCAUCAGAUGCAGUGGAUCCCCAGGUUGCAAGUCAUAUAACCUGAGCAUGCCCAGAUGAACCAAGUAUGCCUGAUUGGUGAACCUGGAACUGGCCAGAACAGAAAAUGUCAACCACAUGUGGAAUCUAAGUAUUCAGAUUGAGAAAUGAGGACCAAAAUGAGAACACUGAGCUCCUCACACAGGUGACUGAACCCGUGGUUUUGGUGUCUGAGAAGAUGCAGCUUCUCCAGUCUCUGCAACUGACGGCAGGAAGAUGGGAGCACUCAGCUUCAGUGUUCAGAAGCAGAUUUAGGCCAAUUGCCAUACCUUACGUUCUGGAGGGAUCCACCCUGACCUGAGCAGGGCACAAUUAUUUUAUCUUGGAACCAACAAUCUUCGGAGAAUGUAUCCCAAAGAUACAAUUCAAAAAGAUAAAAAGGCAGAAGCACAAGGUCAUUCUUGGCAGAACAAAUUGUAACAGCAGAAGACUGGAAAUAAGACAGAUGUCCACCAAUAAAGGACUGACUGAAUAAUCUAAGGUGCAUCUACAUCCUAGAUUUCAAUGCCGGUAUAACAAGCAAGGAAGAUUCCCUCUCUCUGCUGCUAUGUAGUGAUUUCCAGGAUAUACCAUUAAGUGAAUAAAGCAAAGUGCAGAAAAAUGUGUAGAGCUGCUGUUGUCCCAUACCAUACCCACUGGCCACUCAUGGCUAUUUAAGUUAACUAAAUUUAAAUGGAAUUUUAAAUUCACUUCCUCAGUCACACUCACCACAUUUUAGGUGUUUAAUAGUCACAGGUAGCUAGUGGCUACUAUGUUGGACAGUUGAGACAUAGAAUAUUUUCACCUUUGUAGAAAUUCUAUUGGACUCCACCAGUGUAGAAUAUGUCACCUUAUAUAUAUGGAAUAGGAGAAAACUAAUAGAAACAUUCUAUUUGCUUAUAUUUUUAAAAUUGGAAAGUUUUAAUGAAAAUUGAUUUAAAAAAUCAUUACCUAUAAAGAGAAGGAAAAACAGCCCAGGACAGAAGCCAAUAAUGUCUUUUCCCUUAAAAAUAUAAUAUAUAUACACUGGCUCCAUGCACUAGAAAGGUGAAGAAACAUGAUAGACCCAGUAGCAAUGAGCAACUCUAGUGCCCAUAUUGAAUCCACUUAAAACACAUCACACUGAAAGGAACUAGGUUAUCUUAGAGAAAUGACUGAGUUUAGGUCUGUGUAGCCAUUCUACUAGAUGAAUCUGGACCAAACUAUCAUGCCAGAGAGUGCGUCAAAAAGACUCAGAAGCCAAGCUUAAGGGGCUCUCGCUGGACAAAGAUGAAGCAAUUUGAACAUUAAAUAAAAUAAUGACUACUAUGGAUUAAAACACAUUAUAAUAUAAAAACUUCUACAGCUCAUGAUGACACUCUAAAAGAAAAAUAAAAUAAAACAAACAAUAUCAACUCAUUGCUUGCCUUUGGAGAACCCUAGGGAAACAACUCAUUGUUUUGAAAAGUGGAAAUAUUGCAAAAGAAUUAGGCACUCAUCCAACCCUUUCUAUACAUACUAUCCCUCAGUGUAACCUAAUGGUUUAUGAAAGUUUAUUUAAUAGAAUAAUUCCAGCUAAUAAAGCAGAGAAAAUUAUAGAAUUAGAAUAUCAUCCUUUUAUGACCUUUAAUGAAUAUAGAACUAAGCAACAAUCCUUAGACGCUGCAGAAAAAUCGAGGUGAAAAAGGGAUGGGAAAUUUUAUAAUGGAUGGAUCAGCUUAACAAUACUUGAACAUAGUAAUUAAUCUUAACAUCACAAGAGGAGAGACAAUUAGACACAAUGAGCCCCCUGUGUAACACUAUAGGAAUAAACAAUACCACAUAUGAAGUACUUCUGACCAAAACAAAUCUAAAUUGAAUCAAGCCUCUGAAUCUAACACCAUUUUGUUAAAUUUUUUUAUUAUACUUUUAAGUUCUGGGAUACAUGUGGAGAAUGUACAGG